Molecule: non-coding RNA, 554 nt
Organism: Microcebus murinus (gray mouse lemur)
Lineage: Eukaryota; Metazoa; Chordata; Mammalia; Primates; Cheirogaleidae
Source: RefSeq, a predicted model, not a curated record
UUAUAAGUAAAAGGAAUACUUAUAAAAAUAAUGGAAUACUCUAAAAUAAUGAUAAAAGGUAUAGGAUAGUAAAUAAACUAGUAACUGUUGUUUAUUAUUAGCAAAUAUGACAUACUGUACAUAAUUGUAUGUACUAGGCUGUUCUAUGACUAGCAGCACAGUAGGAUUGUUUACCCCAGCACCACCCCCAUACACACACACACAGAUGAGUAAUGCAUUGUUACAACAUUAGGAUGGCUAUGACGUCACUGGGCAAUAGAAGUUUUCAGUUCCAUUAUAACCUUAUGGGACCACCGUCAUGUAUAUGGUCCAUCGUUGACUGAACUGUCGUUAGUGCAUCACUCCGUACUGCUAUGGAGAAAAACAUAAAGCAGCAGGAAAGAUGGACGUGGGGAACCAAGGGGAGGAGUAGGCCUCUUCUGCUAGCUCCACCAGGGCUGGGAUCUUGGUGUGAUUCAUUGAUAUGUCCCUGGCGCCUGGGACCCAGGAAAGGCUCAGCAGAUAUUGGCUGAAUGAAGAAAAGACCAAGGAAGAAAAAUAAAGUGGAGAAAGAA